Molecule: ribosomal RNA, 237 nt
Filed under: uncultured Glomeromycotina
Lineage: Eukaryota; Fungi; Glomeromycota
Description: partial 18S ribosomal RNA
Rfam family: Eukaryotic small subunit ribosomal RNA
Source: RNAcentral
GGGUUGAUCCAUUGGCUUCAGGCUUAAUUGUCUGUACUGGUGAGAUGAAUCUCUACCUUCUGAGGAACUUUCAUGCCAUUUAUUUGGUGUGAUGGGAAAUCAGGACUGUUACUUUGAAAAAUUAGAGUGUUUAAAGCAGGCUAACGUCUGAAUACAUUAGCAUGGAAUAAUGAAAUAGGACGGACUGAUUCUAUUUCGUUGGUUUCUAGGAUCACCGUAAUGAUUAAUAGGGAUAGU